This 1628-nucleotide long non-coding RNA is filed under the name Homo sapiens (human). Its description in RNAcentral is "HSALNT0325374". The record is from RNAcentral. Lineage: Eukaryota; Metazoa; Chordata; Mammalia; Primates; Hominidae.
AUUUCUCUCCUAUCCGCCAUCCUGGUUCCUCCCUUCCCCCCACCUCCCAACUCUGUGCCCCGCCAACGUUUCCUAAAUGCCCUCUAUUCAGAUCCCCCCUCCGCCUCCCCUCUCCUCUCCUCCAUUCCUGCGUCCCCCUUCCCCCGCCGCGCCGCCUGGGCUGUCCGUGGACUUCUCCCACUCUCUCACUCUCUCACUCACUCUCUCUCUCUCUCUCUCUCUCUCACUCUCUCUCUCUCUCUCCCCCUCAUUUAUUUGGAACCGUUGGAUAAGAAGUGCUCGGGCUCUCGCUCAGACUUAGGGAGCUGCCUCGAGGUGAUGAAUGACACCCCCUGGCACCAGCUACCCUUCUCAGACCCCAGUCCAGCCCGCUCCCGACGUCGACUACGAUUCCGCUACCUCGGCUGGCAGCGAGGUUGGGGUGAGCCCCAGCUGCAGGCGCGUCUGGGCUGCGCCGCUGCAAACGAGUUGCGCACCUUGGGCGGCUCCGCACCUGCACCCGCACCCGCGGGGCUCAGCCCCGAAGGCUGCAGCUUCGGGGGAGGCGCGGUCGCCGAGGUCCAGCUGGUGGGGCGAGAGACGUCGCCCCUCGGAGGAUGCUCUCGGAACUUGGGAGAGGAAGGAGGGAAGAGAAGAGGGGAAAGGGGCCGUCGAUGUUUUUGAUGUCUGUGCUUUAAUGGAGGCCACCAAUAUUGAGAAGACGGGGUUGGCCGAGGCAGCCCGCACGCUGCUGCUUGCGAGCGCUCGAGUCAAAGCUAGGGCCAACCGCGGCUUGUCCGGGUGCCCUAAGGGGGCGGACACUUGGUUUAGCACCGGGACACAGAAUAGCCACCGGGGUAGGAAGAUGCGUUCACUUUGCUUACCUGUUGGCAAGAGGGACAUACAAAAAUAACGUAACGUGACAUCGUUGACAACGGUAGCUCUUUGAUUACACAAAAGCCAAUUUUACCUUCCCGCAAAAGCCAGUUGACGCCUUUGGAACUUUUAUUUGCGGCAUUUUGGCGCCCUCUGGCUGUGUUUGGAUCGCUUUCAUGCUCGCCUGCGUCCCAGCCAAGAAAAAAUCGAUGGAGCUGCAGGUUGUCCUCAGGAUGGUUCUGCCCUCAGGACCUGGGCGUGAAUUCAGGGACAGGGUGGCCCUCCAGAACCGGAGUGACAAACUGUAACCAUACUUAGGGAGGCAGACGUCAAAGGCAAGUACAUCUGUAUUCAACUGGGUAAAGCCAUGUGAAGACGUGCCUGCCUCCCUGUUACCUUCCACCAUGAUUGUAAGCUUCCUGAGGCCUCCCCAGCCAUGCCUGCUGUAUAGCCUGCAGAACAAUGAAGUCCCGCUCUGUCGCCCAGGCUGGAGUGCAAUGGCAAGAUCAAUCUCAGCUCAGUGCAACCUUCACCUCCCGGGUUCAAGCAAUCCUCCUGCCUCAGACUCCCAAGUUGCUGGGAUUACAGAGUCUCGCUCUGUCCAGUGGCACAAUCUCUGCUCACUGCAACCUCCACCUCCCUGUUCAAGCGAUUCUCAUGCGUCAGCCUUCCGAGUAGCUGGGACUACAGACACACAUAAGAUGUUACAGCUCUUUGAAGUCAUUCCCAUAGUCUUCUAAUGCAACAAGUCAUUGUCACUAAUUCAACUGAAA